RNAcentral lists this ribosomal RNA (406 nucleotides) under uncultured bacterium. RNAcentral's name for it is "partial 16S ribosomal RNA". It matches the Rfam family "Bacterial small subunit ribosomal RNA", at positions 30 to 526 of the family's 1533-position model. The record is from RNAcentral.
AUUGAACGCUGGCGGCAGGCCUAACACAUGCAAGUCGAACGAGUGGCGGACGGGUGAGUAAUGUCUGGGAAACUGCUCGAUGGAGGGGGAUAACUACUGGAAACGGUAGCUAAUACCGCAUACCAUCGGAUGUGCCCAGAUGGGAUUAGAUAGUAGGUGGGGUACCGGCUCACCUAGGCGUCGAUCCCUAGCUGGUCUGAGAGGAUGACCAGCCAGACUGGAACUGGGGCACGGUCCAGACUCCUACGGAAGGCAGCGGUGGGGGGUAUUGCACAAUGGGCGCAAGCCGGAUGCAGCCAUGCCGCGUGUAUGAAGAAGGCCUUCGGGUUGUAAAGUACUUUCAGCGAGGAGGCGUUACUCGCAGAGGAUGCACCGGCUGACGCCGUGCCAGCGGCCGCGGUAAUAC